RNAcentral lists this ribosomal RNA (422 nucleotides) under uncultured bacterium. RNAcentral describes it as "bacterial SSU rRNA". It matches the Rfam family "Bacterial small subunit ribosomal RNA", at positions 355 to 774 of the family's 1533-position model. The record is from RNAcentral.
UAAGGAAUAUUGGUCAAUGCCCGGAAGGGUGAACCAGCCAUCCCGCGUGAAGGAUGAAGGGGCUCUGCCUUGUAAACUUCUUUUGUAUGGGGCGAAAAAAGGGGAUUUAUCCUCGACUGACGGUACCAUAAGAAUAAGCACCGGCUAACUCCGUGCCAGCAGCCGCGGUAAUACGGAGGGUGCGAACGUUAUCCGGAAUCACUGGGUUUAAAGGGUGCGUAGGCUGUUUAAUAAGUCAGUGGUGAAAGGCCGUCGCUUAACGAUGGGACUGCCAUUGAUACUGUUAGACUUGAAUCAGGUUGAGGUUGGCGGAAUGUGGCAUGUAGCGGUGAAAUGCAUAGAUAUGCCAUGGAAUACCGAUUGCGAAGGCAGCUGACUGGACCUUGAUUGACGCUGAGGCACGAAAGCGUGGGUAGCGAACA